GAUUCUUAUAUCAGUCACUCUAUCUCUGUUUAUUGUGCCAAAGACUGAGAAUCAGUGCAGUGGAAAGCCUGUUUUUGACUGUCAGGACAGCAUACACUUUUCAAUACUGGAAAAGCUAUAUAUUCUAAAGAGCAAGUUAUUACAAAAUUAUGCUGAGUUGUAUCUUUUUUUUGGUACUAAUAGUAGGAAAAUAAUGCACUGGUGGGUCCUUUGACAGAGAUAUCUUAGAGAAAAUGUUUAAGUAGUUAAAGGAUUCAAGGAAAAUACAGGAAAAAUGUAUGGAAUUUGAUGUUUACGUGAUCUGGAUUAAUGUCAUUUUUAAACUUCAGACAUAUCCAAUAGGCUAAAAUGACUUACAAAGAACCAUGUCUGUGUGCGUGUGUAUAUUGAUAAAUGGGUGUGAUUGAAUAUAUAUAUAUAUACAAACGCAUUCUUAAGUACUAUUACCCAGGUAUAAAUUCUUUUUUCAGGAUUUUUUAGAUAGUUAGUAGAAUAAAAAUAAUUUUAAAAUGUCAUACUUUAUAGUUUAAUUUUAAGGAAAAGAUUGGUUAUUUUCAAUUAUUAAAAGUUAAAUAGGCCAAAUCACUUUUUAUGCAAUCAUGUUUUAUACAGUGGUCUCAUUGCACAUUGUGUUUUUCUGCACUUUUUACGGUGUCCUUAUCAAGCUGGUAUCUCAAUAUACACUCUAAAGAGAAACUCAUUUAAUGAUUGUGCCUUGUAUUCUAUUAUUUUUUGCAUCAUUAGUAAAAUUAAGUUGUCUAUUGUAAAUGAUAACUAUAUGACUUAGGAGAAUGUAUUACUAUAUGUACUGCUAUGGAAAAAGGAAAGCAGUUAUUUAUUUGUUUAUGGUACAUUAGUUAUUUUAUAUCUUGAGAACCAACAAAUGCCAUUUCUAUUGUUUAAAUUACUUUUUUUUUUUUAAGUUUUAAGAAUGUAGUAUUUUCUGAGGACUGAUGUGGUUCAAAAAUGUAACCAAAUCUUUCAGAUACUGCAUUUUUAAAAAGGAAGAAUGGGGAAAAUAUAUAUCAGCAUGACCCUGAUAUAGAGAAUAAAGUCUUUAAUUGAACCUUGGCAAAAUAUGUAAUUAGAUUAUAAUUAUUUCCUUGUUUCCAAUAAGGAUUAAUGUUAAACUGUCAUUUAACUGUCUUGAAGAAGAAUGAAAAGUGAUGCAUUUCGGCUUUUUAGAUCAUUUGUAAUGAAAUUUGUACAGAAACCCUCCAGUGAAACUAAGUGAACCAUUUUCCAGACCUUGACUGGAUUGCUGUGAUUUUACAGUUAAAAAAUAAUUUCAAAUUUUUUUAGUUUUUUUUGUACAUUUAUUUUUUUCUAACAAAUAUAUUGAACUAUAUAAUUAAAAUUAAGUAGUUAACUCUUAAUGCAGAAAUGGAUGAUGUGUUAUAUAGAAAAAUGAGUCAAUGUCACCAUUACUGAAAAUGAUAGUGUGUACAUUGGAGAUUUAAGUCAUUAAAGUAAUUAGUUGCUUUUGAAGGGAAUCUAUUUGAGAAAUGUAAUUUCCUGAUGUUAUCUGCAUUGUAUUAGAAGAUUAGACUAAACUCCAUUUUUAUAAAUAAAAGUAGCUAUAAGGUGUGUUCCGUAUAAGGAAGUGUGCACAGUCUUAGUGUGGAGGACCUCUAGAACGGUGCACAGGGAGCUCCAACCUCUGAGCAGGGAAAUAAGUAUUUCCAUCUGUCUUAAAACAAGGAAAUAGAACAUUUCUGUUUUAAAGACACUGCAUACUCAGUGACCGUAUUUGGACAUUUUUAGACACUGGUUUCUUGGUAAGGCAAAAUGACUUGGAUUGUAUUAUUUGUAACUGAAAACUUAAGAUAUAUUAAUACCAGAUACAGAUUUUUUUAUUUUUAUAAUUUAGCUUCUGUACAUUGCAGAAGAUAAAUUAUGAACUUUAAGUCAUCAUGUUUUGGUUUGUUUUUACUGCUUGGAAAAGUCUCCUCUUUGAGGCAGUAACAUCCUAUAUACUGCUUAUAGGCCAGAAGGAAUUGUUAGCGCUUGUCUUAGGUAAGCAAUAAGAAAAAUCUCAAGUUUACUGAAACUUUCAGAAAGGAAAUUUACUAUGUACAUGGAACAUAGAUACCAGUUUUCAGGCUGCGUUCAGUGGUCCAUGGCUGAAAUCCCAGCAUUUGGGAAGUGGAGACAGAAAACAUCAAGAGUUCAAAGUUACCUUUAGCUGCAAACCACGUUCAGGACUAGGGCUACAACAGCAGCAAUACCAAAAAGAAAAACUCAGUUUAUAUAUAUUUCUAAUAUUCAACCAUACUGUUCUCUUAUGCUAUCCUGGCUUCACAAAGCCCAAGUUUAACAGAAGUUUCAGUGUUGUCACAGGAGUAGUUUAAAGACUCAGUCUAAUUGCAGUCUACCAGCCUUUGGAAGUAGAAAUGU
RNAcentral lists this long non-coding RNA (2397 nucleotides) under Rattus norvegicus (Norway rat). Its description in RNAcentral is "long non-coding RNA NONRATT028817". Lineage: Eukaryota; Metazoa; Chordata; Mammalia; Rodentia; Muridae. The record is from RNAcentral.